RNAcentral lists this long non-coding RNA (10770 nucleotides) under Malus domestica (apple). RNAcentral describes it as "long non-coding RNA (MDOM_LNC014447)". Lineage: Eukaryota; Viridiplantae; Streptophyta; Magnoliopsida; Rosales; Rosaceae. The record is from RNAcentral.
UUGUCGGUUAAUUAUUUGGUGCGACUUGCGAGUUGGUGGUCCUAAUUAAAUUAGGCUACUGUCAUUGCUUAGAUGUCAAAUCGGUGGCCCUACUCACUUUUGUUUUCAAAUUUUUUGAAUGUCCAACGCUUAAUAGCCACAUUUUUAUCUCUUACAAUUCGUAAUUAGUCUGAUAUUUAUUUUUUUAUUUCGCGCGUAUAAAAAAAAAAAAGAAUUAGAAUAAAAAAAUAAUUGUGGUAGGUGUGCGUGGUCGGUACGAGUCAAAGGAUUAAUCUAUCAAUCGUAUUUACAGUCAACAAUGGAGGAGUGAGAUCAACGUACAUCAACUAAGGUAAAGAUUGUCCUCUAAAAAGUUCACCUACCACAAGUUGACAUAAUUUAAUGGUAUCUAAGUAUUUCUUAAUAAAAUUCAUAACUACCAUACAUAAAAAGCCUAAAAACAAGAGAAAAACUUGAGUAUGAACGUUGGACUAGACUAAUCUAGGGAUGGGUAACGGUUAUGGUGGGUGGGUAACCGUGGUUAUUUACCCAUAACCGUUUAUGCUCAUACCCACAUAACCGUUUACCUGUUGGGUAAUUGCCUAAACAGUUAUACUCAUAUCUAUAACUGUAUACCCAUUUAAUCGUAACCGUUUAAUACCCGUUUACCCAUUUAUCAUUUUUAACCCGUUUAUCUUUUUUUUUUACCAUUACCCUUUUUUCACCCGUCUACAUGUUUUUUAACAACUUGAAAAUUAAAAAAAAAAUUGUCAUAAUUUUCUUUUUCUUUUUUUACAAUUAAACACCGUUAUAGGUACAUUCAUCAUACAUUUCCAUAUUUUAAUUUUUUUUAAGUCCUUAUAUCAUUCCAAUAAUUGAAAUAAUAGUUUACGGACGAUAUAUUUAACUGUUACCAAUGAAGGUAAAUAUAAUAUUUUAUUAUUGGGUUACAAAAAUUGUUUAGAAGACAUUUCUAUCAAAACAUUUUUGUCAAUUUCACGGUUACCCACAAGGAAAUUUAAAUUAAUUUGGUCAAUUCCUUGAUGAUGAGAAUCAUCAUUCCUAUAGCAGUGUUACUGAGAGAAUGACCGAUGAAUUCCUUGUUAAUUUAUUGGGUGCUAAGUAUUAUUGGAUCGAGAACAUGGUUUGUAUUAGUUUUACAUAUAUAAAAUAAAUAAGUAAACGGUUACUCGUUUAUAACCGCCCAUUUAAAUUUCGUGGGUAAACAGUUAUGGGUAUAACAGUUUAUUUAUCUAAACAGUUACCUAUAACCGUAACCGUUUAAUUUAAAUGAGCGAGUAACCGCGAUUACCCAUCUUAGACUAACCAUAACAAGUUUCUGAAGAAAAAAUUUCAUAAGUACCAUGAUCGUGAUGGAGGCUAAAAAUGACAGGAAAACUUGAGUACGAAUGCCGACCACACUAAUUAAAUACAAGACUAUAUAUUUCAAUCGUAUUCCAUAUACACGAUCACAUUCAAGAUGACAGCAGGUGAUUAAAACCAGCCCUCAAUGCCAAACAAACAGGUGUCGUGACGAUUGGAAAUGAUUUGUGUAAUCGGAAUUUUUUUUUAUUAUGACCGGAAUAUAAGGGGUACACCAUAUAUUUUUAUAUAAAUGAUGAAAAAUUUUAUUUUUUAAGUUAUUAACUUUUUAACACAUAUAUUUCACUAUAUGUGUAAUAACACGUCGUAUACCACUUUAUAUAUCGAUCACACUAAAAAAUUAUUGUAGUCGACAGAUUAUACCCCUCCCGCGUCCAAGUGGACCCUGCGUUGGCCGUUCGCACAUACUUUGCUGGGUGCUGUCGCCACAAAACCAUUCAGAAAUUUCGGAAAUGGUAGCUCGCAAAGCACUCCACGAUUUCCCUUCCCUUCCCAUAUCAAAAUCCAAUUUCAAAGCUUGUCUCGUGUCUCGUUCCGUUGACUAAAAGCAUUCAUCGCCAAAUUCGAGAUUUCGAGUUUGAUUUUCUUCACCUGGUAAUCGUAUCGUCUUGCUAGGAACUUGUCGUUCAAUUAAAUAAGAGUAUUUACCACAACUUGAGGUUUCUAAUUCGAUUUUAUUCAUCUCAAAUUGUCUUGGUAUGAGUUGGCUGAUUAGUUAAACUCGAGAUCUCAAACUUCUUUUUCUCCACCCCACCGUCUUGUCGCUAAACUGAACCUCAAGUCACAAGUUUUAUUUUUCCAAACUCGUAUGUCGCAGUGACACUGAGACGGCUCACGCACCCAUGAUCUCGUGAUCCCAACAUAUUAAUACAAAAUUUAUUACACCACACCCACAGUCCUACACUCCCCAGUACCCAAACUCUGUCUAUCCGCUCUUACUCUAAAUCCAUAUAUAUAUAUAGAGAGAGAGAGAGAGAGAGAGAGAGAGAGAGAGAGAGAGAGAGAGAGAGAGAGAGCUCAACAGUGAAACUUCAUCUUCUAAAAAUGAAGGACAACGAUUCACCGACACUGAUAACAAUCUCAUCAUCAACGGUGAUCAGGAAGGACACCUCGUCGUCUUCGUCGUCGAAAGCCGGAGUCUUUCUCGACAAGAAUCGCUACAAGUUCUCGGUUUUAGCUGCGAUUCUCCUCCUCGCUUUCUGGUCAAUAUUCACCGGGUGCGUCACCCUCAAAUGGUCAGCCGGCAACUUAUCCCACGUCUCCGACGACCUCGAUAUACCGACCUUCGACGAUCUCGACAUUCUGGUACGUAAGUUUACAUCUUUCUCGUACUUGGGAGCUAACCCUUUUGCUCAAUUUCUCUGUUAAUCAUUGUGGAAUUGGAAUUAAACAAAUUAAUACUGGAUUAAUGAUUUGCAGGAGGUGGAGGAGAGAGAGACGGUGGUGAGGCACAUGUGGGAUUUGUACACGCAGAGCAGCCGCACCAGCACGAGUCGACUGCCGCGGUUUUGGCAGGAGGCUUUCGAGGCGGCGUUCGAGCAUUUGAGCAGCGACGUUGCUGCCGUACGAGACGCCGCUGUUUCGGAGAUUGCCAAGAUGUCCAUCCGCUCCAUCGUCCUUGAUCCCAUCCCACUUCAAUCAACGGUUAGUAUACCCUCUAAUUUGUAUAAUCAAGUCUCUCCCUUAUGUUCACGUGUGAUUAUUUCUCUACUAAAAUUCUAAUUUAGGGUUUAGUAAAGUUUUUUGGAAAUGAUCAUCUCCGGAUCUUUUUCAUUUAAGCCUCAUGAUCAAUAAUUUUGGAUCCUUAAAAUUUGAUCCAAGCUAAAGUUAUUAUAACUUUAAUAAGUCCUGUUUUUAACCGUUGGAUCAAAUUUUAAAGGUUCGAAUUUGUUGAUCAUGAGGCUCUGGUGGAAGGGAUCCGGAGAGGAUUCCUUUCCAAGUUUUUUAACUUCAAAUAAUUUCCUGUUAAACUACUUUACUCUGUUUUUGUAUUCUCAGUUGACCUGUUGACCCGUUCUAUGUAAGUCCUUCUUCAGCUUUAGGCUUCUUUUGAUGAUUUGCUUGCUCUCUGAUGAUGCAAGAUUAGCUUUAGCCACGAAAGUUUAGUGAGCUAAACAAUUUGAGUAAAAAUUAGUACAAGUUCAAGAGCUUGAAUAGUAGAUGUAGGUCAGGUGAGAUGGUCGAGGUCUCUUGCACCGGAGUUUGAAUCCUCAUUUCGGUAGACUAGAAUAAUUUAGAAUAUAAUAUCGUCGUAUAAAAGAAACAUAAAAUUGAGUUUGUUUGUGCACGAACAACGUGAACCUCUUUAUAAACAUCGACCCAAUUUGUGAUAACUGUUGUAAAUUUGUCGAAACAUAGCGAAAAUUUCCAACCGAAAAACAUGUGCAAUUUUCAAGUGAUGGAGUUCACAAAUUCGUAUACGAGCCUUAGUAAUAUGUGUUUGCGAUUUGUGACGAAUUGUGUUUGUUAUUGUGUCCAGAACAUAAGAGAAAUGCAGAAGAAGAGAUCCAAGAAAGCGGAGGAAAGCAAGAAGGUGACUACAUUACGUAGUAGCAGUUAGAAUCCUCCGUUUCAUGUGCUUGCCGUCGAACUCAGUGCUUAAAGUUUCGUCGGAGAACGGUGAACACGCGCCGGGACUAUGUGCACGGUUUAUACAUAAUUAGGGUUCAGGUCAAUCCCCUUCUCAGAUUAAAAGAAAAAGAUCCAUAUAUGAAAACUUGUCUCUGAAUUGUCCUCCUGUGAACCCCAUUAGUUGGGGAACUUGGGACAUUAGAAAAUCCAAUUUAUUGGGAUUUGAUUUACUUGUAUAUUUAUUUUUAAUUAAGAGUAAUAAAAACAGUAAAAUUUCCAGUCCUGUAAGUGUGAAAAUUGUGUUCGUUUUCGAGUUAAAAAUCACAGCAAACUGAUAUAUAUCAUUUUUCACAAAAAAUGUGAGCUAUUUAUACGUUCUAAGAGCAACUCCACCCAUGUGGGUUGCUCGGGGGACAGUGGAGAAGAAGGGGCCGGAGGCCCGGUGGAGAGAGGUCCAGCCGUGUGGAGGCCGAGUGACGGUGGGAGCCCGAGCAAAGGGGGGGUGGGGAGUCGAUGGGCCUGUCGCUCGAGGGCGUUGCAAUUUUUUAUUUUUUUUGUGUCAGAGAGAGAGGGGGGGACCGGAGCAUUUGCAAUUUUUUAUUAUUUAAACAAACAAAAAAAACUAUUAUUUUAAUUGCUUAUUGCCAAGGGGAAGGGUUCCAAGGGUGGAGAUGUAAAUGGCAAUUACUGUUCAUUAAUGGUAGUUACUAUUCAUUUAAGGCAGUUACUGUUCAAUAGGGUGGAUUGAAUAGUGGAUUGCCAGGGAGGAGGGCUCCAUGGGUGGAGUUGCUCUAAGUUCUAACUGGUUUUGUGGCCAAAAAAGAAAAGAUUUCAUGAUGGUAGAUGUAGGAAUUUGCAAAAUCGUUUAAAAAGCAUUGAAUAGUCUAGAUUAACGAGACCAUACUAAAAGUAAUAAUCUAAACCAAUUUAAGUCGUCCAAUACUCAAGUAUUUAAUGAUACAUAACACGAAAGAAUUGUUCUACAAUUUUGGUAAAAAAAUGUUAUUUUUUAGUCGUACAAUAACUAUUUCGUUAGAAAAUUAUUAUAAGCCCUCAUCUAGAAGCAGUCACAAAAUGUAAUUUUUCUGUUAGAUUUGACUCCCACAAUAUAAACACCCAAUUUUCAACAUACAUUCCACAGUGGUUCCAAAAAAAGGCACCUUGAGUUUGAUUCAUAUUACAUUAUUAUCACGAACGAUGAUGUAAGCUUGAUACAUUUUUAUCACAAUGUUGCAUAAGUAUUACUCAUGAGUUCAACAUAUAUCGAACUCAAAAAAUAAGAAUCACUCUCAUAAGUUAUAUCCCACAAAUUUCCUGCCCAUUGUAAAAAUCUAUUUCCUAUAUUAUUCAUAUCACUCAAUUUUCCGGCUGAGUUUCGAAAAAGUAAGUAGAAAUAGAAAUCGGCGAAGUUACAACUCAAAUUAAUCAAAUUUAAAAUUGAUGGAAAAAUAUAGAAACUUGGGUACGUCGAUUGAAGAAUAAAUAUAAAUCUCCCGCAGGAUCUCAAAAAGCGACGAGAUUAAAAACAUGACUAUAAUUUAAGGAUACACAAAAUCGCUCGAGCAGAAAAAUUAGCACUGCUGCUGGCUGGCUGGCUGGCUGGCACUUACUACUACUAGUCUACCACUACGACUACAUCAUUAGAAGAAGAAGAAGAAGAAGAAGAUAUGACAGUCCAAAAGCCAAAAACCUAUUUACAACUGCCCUUCUCAUCUUUAAACUCCAUCCUCCUCCCUAAUCUUCCAGUGUCUGGAUCUCGCCCAUCAUGAUGCGGUUACUCACGACGUUAAAUCCCAAGACAGCCGGACUAACCUUCUUUCCUUUCUUUCCCUUCUUCUUGCCAACCCCUUUGGAGGACGCGUCUUGGUCCGCAUCCCCAACAUCUGCACCGUACGAAUUCACAUCUCUGCCGCUCAACCCAGCGACCCCUUGGUCAUUCCCUUUUUCAAACGCAAUUUCAAGGACAUCAGCCGGUAGCAACUCCUUGUAGUUGAGAAAUUUGUCAAUGAAUUCGUGAUCGGGAUCAUACGACCCUAGGUUCUCUUUCAGAAGCAACUCAGCCUCCGAUUUGGAUUGCUUCAGGCAAAACUCAAGGAAACUCGUAUCUGGAAAGCAAAAUAUAUGACAAAGCCAAGAAUAAGACUUUGAAAGGACGAAUUCUUCUGAACAAACUCUAGCAAAUCUUAUAAUUCUCAGAUCAGUAAUCCAAUUAUGAAACUGAAUAUCACGACAAGGAAUGGAGUUGGACCAACACAAUGACAAAUAUCAAUUCACCUUUUUAAGCUACGAAGAAAGCAAAAUCAUUAUAGCAAAAACACCUGGUUCUAUGGAAUUUGCCCACUAUUUAAUGAAGUUUAGUACUAUUAUGCAGGUCAGAAGGUCAAAAAUACCUUUCGUGCCAAUAAGCCUAACGCACUCAUUCUUGCACCAAUCUCGGAAGCCCAUGGCCUCUGCAAAGGAAAAUAAAACAACGUAAGUAGGUGACAAGAAAUAUUUCUGACAGAAAAUCAACAGUACCAUGACUGGCUUACCUGAUUGCUUGGUCAUGGCAUCUCUUUUUCCUUUCAUAGAUGACUGAGACGGUGAGGAUGAAAGUAAUCGCUCAGUUGCUUUUCGACCCACUGAUUUCUGCCCGCCUAAUGAACCAGCUGAAGUUCCUUUACCAGGAGUAAUUUUCACUCCCCGACUGCCCUGGCUUGCAAGAUGAGGAAAAUCUGCCCUGCUCACAGAAAACCAAACAAAAACACAAGCUCCAGGUCAAACUAGGUCAAAUUAGUUCCCUGCAGAUGCAAAAGAUGUGAGCCAACCCCAUGUAUAUGCAUUCCGACAAUAUAAUUAAGUGAGGCUCAUAAAGCUUUCCGUCUCAAAGCAACAUAAAGCGGACACAACCACACGAUGAAUUAAUAUAAAAUAAAGCAAAGAAGUAAUAUCAUACUGCUUAUUUUCUUGCUUUGCUUGAUCAAUUGGGCCCCAGAAUAAGUCAUCUUCUACUUUAUUUCUCGACUGAGAAGCAUGGGAAUUAAUCGCGAUGGGAGAUGCAGCCUUAGAUGGAGAUGAUGCUGAAAGUGACCAUGACGGAGCACUACUGCGGGUGACUUGAGGUGGCUGUGAUUUCUGAGGAGUUGGAAUCUGAUUUUGGUGCUGAGUAGCAGCAACCCUCUUCUCCUGCUCCUUUUGGAUAUCUCUUAAAGAUGUGGGUUUAGAAAUCUUCCCAGAGUCUGUAGACCAUGCUGGAGAAGGAGCAGGGUUAGCUGUUUCUCCUUUCCAAAGAACAAAAUCUCCCAAUGAAGGCCCUGAUGGAAUUGCAGGCGAUACUUCAUUUUCCUGAUGUACAGAACGGGAGCUUUUGACUUUCUCAGUGGGGCUUGAACUAACAGGCACAUCUACAGCAGUGACUGAUACUGAGGGCUUGGUUCCAACACCCUUUGAUUUUGCUGACCUUUUGCGACUUUUUUUGGUGUCUUUUGCCUCAAUAAAGUUAUCGUCAUCUACAGAUUCUGGCCGGGUGGGCAUAAUUUGUGAAGGAUGCUGAGUUGAUACACCAUUAGGAAUUUCAACAUCUCUUUCACUAGACUUGGCCAAAACCUCCUCUGCUAAUAAAUCAUGUAGCGGGCUCUUCUUGCUCUUUGAGUUUUGAGAAGUUUUGGGCUUCCCAACAUUUAAGUCAUGAAUACCUGCAUCUACCGGAGUUUCUGUAGAUAUUUUUGGUUCUGAAUUGACUACAACCCCAGCCCAAGGAGUUGACAAACUGGGGGAGUUGAUGAUGACCUCAGGUAUAAUCACUUCUGUCCGUGCCUUCCUCUGUUCUUCCUGUUGAAUUUCUAGUAACGAUUUCGCCUUAAAACCAGGAGCAGGUUUCCAACCUCGCUGCCCAAUCUGUGUUCGAGUACUUUGCCCAGAAACAGACUCAACUAACUUAGAAUCACCCCUGAAUUCAUUAUGUUCCUUAUCACCUCCAGAAACUUUUACAGGUUCUAGAUUUUCAGCUUGUCGGGAUUCCAAAGCCUCUGCUGUAACAAUUACAGACUUACUGCCUCGGUUGCCUCUCGUCUCCAAUUUUGUGUCGCUAACAACAGGCUUUUCAGCUUCAGACUGUGCACUGGAUGCUCCUUUUGCUUGAUCACCAGAAGACUCUACCUUGGCAGAUUUUUGCUUUUUGGACUUCUUCUCAGAAGUCUUUCUUUGCCCUCUUACUUCAACAUUCUUUGCUUCAACUACUGUAGGAGCCUCAUCAUUGCAUUUUUCCCUUUCAAUCCGCUGUUCUUCAAUUUGAUUGCCUGAUUGAACAUUCACAUCAUUAAUAUACUCAUGUACAUCUUUCUUGAAAGCUCCCAGUGAUGGCAAAGAAUCUGCAACACCCUGAGAAAUUGAAACCCCAACAGAUCCGUCAGCUAUGAAAGUGUUUUCAGCUGCCCAUUCCAGGGGUUUCACAACAUGGAAGUCAGAAUCAGGUAUGUCCUGCGCAAGGGACACCUCUCUAGAUUUGGUCAUCACAUCAAGCAAAGGUGAGCUCUCAACACUUGUCGACAUUGGCAACGACUCCUGCUGAAUAGAAAUUGGUGCCGCCAUAUUAACAUCCAGACUUCUUUGAUGAGUAAUAUUCUCAAGCACUUGAUGAGGUAACACUACUGAGGAUGCUCCCUCACUAACAUUAUGACUAAUAUCUUGGGUACCUUGGGGAGGCAAAGUCAUAUAACUACUAGUGAGUUCAUUUUGUGUAUUGGGAACUUGCACAUUUGUACCAACUGGAAACAUUUCUCGUGAUGACUGAAGCCAGGAAGGAUCUAUCCCUUUCAGCACUGCAGAAGCCUGCAUCUGUCCAAAAGAUGGCUCAGUAAAAUGCUGUCGAGAUUGAUGCUCUGACAUAACCUGGGAAAGCAGCUGCUGUUGUUGCCUUAACAAACUUUGCUCCUCCUCCUGUUUCUGUUGCUGCUGCUUCAGCAACAUGAGCUUAUCCAACAAUGUCAUUUGUUGUGUUGGAACAGGCGCUUGGGAAUGUAACUGCAAUAAAUACUGCUGUUGCAACAUGCCCAACACUUGUGGAUCUUGUAAUAAACCAGAAGAAAGUAAUUUCUCUUGCGUUGAAAUACUUGAACUAUCCAUAGCUUGGGAAAGUAAAGAUUGUUGAUUCUGAGGAUGCAGCCUCUGCUGUUGGAAUCCAAGAGGGACCUGGGGAGGAAAGUUAAUCUGGAGUGGGGCUUGGGGAGGCAAAUUACUCUGGAGUGGGUCUGAGCCACCUUGGACAGGAAAAGUUGACCGACCAGCAGCACUAUUAUGUAUGGCCAAUGAUGACCGGUCAGUUAAUCCUUGAAGGAUGGACAUGAUGUCAGAACUUUGGGUAUGAGGAGGCUGACUAGGACUUUCUGCCACUGAAGAGAGGAGGUUUGCAUCUGCAACAAUCUCCGACUUAGGUAUCACAGAUGAAACAUCUCUCCCGGGCCAAUAUUGAUAAGGAUUAGGAAAAGACCUCUGUUGUUCAAGAACCAUUCUCUUGGCGAACAGAUUAUCUAAUCCAGUAUGAAGAUUGUUUCCCAUAAAUCCUUGUAAACCUAAUAACAAAACAUAUAGAUCCAAGUCACAAGAAGGCAGUAUGUGAUAUGCAGAACAAAUGAAAACAAAGUAUGAAUAAAGCUUCAGAAAGUAUGAAAAUACUAUACUCGAAAUGUAAAAGAUACGUUAAUAUCACCAACCUUCCGUAAAAGGAAACUUCUGAAGUGGUGAGCCACUCGGAUUACCAGACAUUAGUGACUCCAGAAACCUAUUCUCAGCUUCUGCUGUUGAACCCUGUUUAUUCCUUAGAUCAUUUAUUGCCAUCUCUGCCUCACUUAAGCCAGCUUGCAUCAUCCUAACAUUACCAAAGUUUGGCCUACUUGAUGUAUCCGCAACCUCGGGUUUAGGUGCAGUAAAUCCAGGUGGUGGUCUAGCUUUAGCUCGUAAAUGAGGCAUAACAUCACCAAGUGCCAAAAAUGGCGUAUCAUUUGAUGCACCUGCUAUGCGAACUAGCAAAUCUAUGCCAAAAUAUCCAGCCUCAAACCAGCCAAUAAUGUCAGCCCCAGAGAAAGGACCUUGAAUUAUACCCUGAGGAUCUUUAUAAUAAAGCUGCAGAUCCUCUGGAGAAAGCUGCUGAGGUUUUCUCAAUUCUUGUUCCCUAUCUAGAAUUCCAGAUGGCUGCCUCCUUAUAACUGGAUCGUCACUGGUUUUCCAUCUUGCCUCAUCCCUACUUUCCCAUUCGUUAUUAAGAUCUUUCGGUCUUAGUGACCAGCCCAUAUCAGGAGUUCUUGACUUGAUAUCACCAGGAAUCUCUUUCCAAUCAUGCAAGACUGUAUGUGAGCACUCUUGUAAUGGAGCUCUCCAUGGAGAGCCAAAGUGAGCAGUACUACCUCCCUGCAUGCUCAAAUCUGCACCAACAGGUACCUCCUCAACCCUUCUGAAAGGACCACUGUCUACUCUAAAAGCUGCAAACAGAAAGUAAAUUGAGUAAAUUUAAACAGGGAAACCCAUCUCACGUCAGUAACAUGUCUGAAAAAGGCCAGUGCCAGUUUCCUUGUUUUUUUUUUUCUGAAACAUAAUCUCAAGAAAGAAUGUAAGAUUCUAAAUCAAGAAUCAAGUAAACCAGUUGUUCAUGGGCACUGAACAAUAGGUGAAUUUAAACCAUCUAGCCCAAACUUUUCCAGCCCACCCUAGUAACCUUUACCAACAUGCAUACUGAUGUUGUUUCAACAUCCUUUUCAUGUCGUACAUCAACAUACCUUCCCCUCUGAAAUUGCUCUCUGAGUAUGGUUUCUGCUCCAGCGAUGUUUCUGCUUUUAGGCUGGAUCCAUGAUGGAGCACCUGCCU